GAUGAAGAACGUAGCGAAAUGCGAUACGUAAUGUGAAUUGCAGAAUUCAGUGAAUCAUCGAGUCUUUGAACGCACAUUGCGCCCCCCAGUAUUCUGGCGGGCAUGCCUGUUCGAGCGUCAUUUCAACCAUCAAGCCCUGCUUGUGUUGGGGUCCUGCGGCUGCCCGCAGGCCCUGAAAACCAGUGGCGGGCUCGCUAGUCACACCGAGCGCAGUAGCACAUCUCGCUCAGGGCGUGCGGCGGGCUCCAGCCGUUAAAGCACCCACCUUUCGCAAGGUUGACCUCGGAUCAGGUAGGAAUACCCGCUGAACUUAAGCAUAUCAAUAAGCGGAGGA
Molecule: unclassified non-coding RNA, 334 nt
Filed under: soil metagenome
Description: partial contains 5.8S ribosomal RNA, internal transcribed spacer 2, and large subunit ribosomal RNA
Rfam family: 5.8S ribosomal RNA (bases 1-120)
Source: RNAcentral